CCUACGGGAGGCAGCAGUAGGGAAUCUUCCACAAUGGGCGCAAGCCUGAUGGAGCAACACCGCGUGAGUGAAGAAGGGUUUCGGCUCGUAAAGCUCUGUUGUUGGAGAAGAACGUGCGUGAGAGUAACUGUUCACGCAGUGACGGUAUCCAACCAGAAAGUCACGGCUAACUACGUGCCAGCAGCCGCGGUAAUACGUAGGUGGCAAGCGUUAUCCGGAUUUAUUGGGCGUAAAGCGAGCGCAGGCGGUUGCUUAGGUCUGAUGUGAAAGCCUUCGGCUUAACCGAAGAAGUGCAUCGGAAACCGGGCAACUUGAGUGCAGGAGAGGACAGUGGAACUCCAUGUGUAGCGGUGGAAUGCGUAGAUAUAUGGAAGAACACCAGUGGCGAAGGCGGCUGUCUGGUCUGCAACUGACGCUGAGGCUCGAAAGCAUGGGUAGCGAACAGGAUUAGAUACCCGAGUAGUC
RNAcentral lists this ribosomal RNA (465 nucleotides) under uncultured bacterium. RNAcentral's name for it is "partial 16S ribosomal RNA". It matches the Rfam family "Bacterial small subunit ribosomal RNA", at positions 338 to 795 of the family's 1533-position model. The record is from RNAcentral.